Molecule: ribosomal RNA, 780 nt
Filed under: uncultured eukaryote
Lineage: Eukaryota
Description: partial 18S ribosomal RNA
Rfam family: Eukaryotic small subunit ribosomal RNA
Source: RNAcentral
UUAAACGAUGCCACCAGCGAUCAGCCUGAGUUCUUUAAAUGACUCGGCUGGCAGCUUCCGGGAAACCAAAGUCUUUGGGUUCCGGGGGAAGUAUGGUUGCAAAGCUGAAACUUAAAGGAAUUGACGGAAGGGCACCACCAGGAGUGGAGCCUGCGGCUUAAUUUGACUCAACACGGGAAAACUCACCCGGCCCGGACACUGGGAGGAUUGACAGAUUGAGAGCUCUUUCUUGAUUCAGUGGGUGGUGGUGCAUGGCCGUUCUUAGUUGGUGGAGCGAUUUGUCUGGUUAAUUCCGAUAACGAACGAGACUCUAGCCUACUAAAUAGACUGCCAGCUCUUCGGCGCUGGCAGGACUUCUUAGAGGGACAGGCGGCGGUUCAGCCGCACGAAACAGAGCAAUAACAGGUCUGUGAUGCCCUUAGAUGUCCGGGGCCGCACGCGCGCUACACUGAAGUGAUCAGCGUGCAUAGGUGACCCGCUCUGAAAGGAGCGGGUAACCGGUGGAACCUUCUUCGUGAUAGGGAUUGGGCAUUGUAAUUAUUGCCCAUGAACGAGGAAUUCCCAGUAAGCGUGAGUCAUAAGCUCGCGUUGAUUACGUCCCUGCCCUUUGUACACACCGCCCGUCGCUACUACUGAUUGAAUGAAUUAGUGAGGUCUUCGGACUGGCCUGUGCUGGCUGUUUCGGCAGCUGCACAUGGCUCGGGAAGAUGCCCAAACUUGUUCAUUUAGAAGAAGUAAAAGUCGUAACAAGGUUUUCGUAGUGAACCUGCGGAAGGAUCA